Molecule: non-coding RNA, 154 nt
Organism: Thermacetogenium phaeum DSM 12270
Lineage: Bacteria; Bacillati; Bacillota; Clostridia; Thermoanaerobacterales; Thermoanaerobacteraceae
Source: Rfam
UUACCGGCAACGGUGGGGUCUGAAGGAAGCCGAAAGGGGAACUCGGAACAUAGGGGAGCGAACCGAGGUUGGCUUAUCAGGUGGGUAACCUUGCACGAUGUGGGAAAGCCCGAAAAUCUUAAAAGUUGAGGGUCUGUUGCAGGAAUUUAUUGCU